UACGUAGGGGCCUAGCGUUGUCCGGAUUUAUUGGGCGUAAAGAGCGUGUAGGCGGCCAGGUAGGUCUGCUGUGAAAACUCGAGGCUCAACCUCGAGACGUCGGCGGAAACCAUCUGGCUAGAGUCCGGAAGAGGAGAGUGGAAUUCCUGGUGUAGCGGUGAAAUGCGCAGAUAUCAGGAAGAACACCCGUGGCGAAGGCGGCUCUCUGGGCCGAUACUGACGCUGAGGAGCGAAAGCGUGGGGAGCGAACAGG
Molecule: ribosomal RNA, 253 nt
Filed under: uncultured bacterium
Lineage: Bacteria
Description: partial 16S ribosomal RNA
Rfam family: Bacterial small subunit ribosomal RNA
Source: RNAcentral